GGGUAGGCGCCGGAUGAACGGGCAUCAUUGAUGUUGUUGAGCAUGGGAUAAAUAUCCUCCUGCCUU
RNAcentral lists this transfer RNA (66 nucleotides) under Goniobranchus leopardus. RNAcentral describes it as "tRNA-Ile". The record is from RNAcentral. Lineage: Eukaryota; Metazoa; Mollusca; Gastropoda; Nudibranchia; Chromodorididae.